AGCAUGUGGUUUAAUUCGAAGCAACGCGAAGAACCUUACCAGGUCUUGACAUCCUCUGACAACCCUAGAGAUAGGGCUUCCCCUUCGGGGGCAGAGUGACAGGUGGUGCAUGGUUGUCGUCAGCUCGUGUCGUGAGAUGUUGGGUUAAGUCCCGCAACGAGCGCAACCCUUGAUCUUAGUUGCCAGCAUUCAGUUGGGCACUCUAAGGUGACUGCCGGUGACAAACCGGAGGAAGGUGGGGAUGACGUCAAAUCAUCAUGCCCCUUAUGACCUGGGCUACACACGUGCUACAAUGGGCAGAACAAAGGGCAGCGAAGCCGCGAGGCUAAGCCAAUCCCACAAAUCUGUUCUCAGUUCGGAUCGCAGUCUGCAACUCGACU
Molecule: ribosomal RNA, 380 nt
Filed under: Bacillus sp. G-14
Lineage: Bacteria; Bacillati; Bacillota; Bacilli; Caryophanales; Bacillaceae
Description: bacterial SSU rRNA
Rfam family: Bacterial small subunit ribosomal RNA
Source: RNAcentral